This 468-nucleotide ribosomal RNA is filed under the name uncultured bacterium. RNAcentral describes it as "partial 16S ribosomal RNA". It matches the Rfam family "Bacterial small subunit ribosomal RNA", at positions 28 to 507 of the family's 1533-position model. The record is from RNAcentral.
GAUGAACGCUGACAGAAUGCUUAACACAUGCAAGUCUACUUGAAUUUGGGUUUUUUAACUUAGAUUUGGGUGGCGGGCGGGUGAGUAACGCGUAAAGAACUUGCCUCGCAGCUAGGGACAACAUUUGGAAACGAAUGCUAAUACCUGAUAUUAUGAUUAUAAGGCAUCUUAGAAUUAUGAAAGCUAUAUGCGCUGUGAGAGAGCUUUGCGUCCCAUUAGCUAGUUGGAGAGGUAACGGCUCACCAAGGCGAUGAUGGGUAGCCGGCCUGAGAGGGUGAACGGCCACAAGGGGACUGAGACACGGCCCUUACUCCUACGGGAGGCAGCAGUGGGGAAUAUUGGACAAUGGACCAAGAGUCUGAUCCAGCAAUUCUGUGUGCACGAUGACGUUUUUCGGAAUGUAAAGUGCUUUCAGUUGGGAAGAAAAAAAUGACGGUACCAACAGAAGAAGUGACGGCUAAAUACGUG